This 443-nucleotide ribosomal RNA is filed under the name uncultured bacterium. RNAcentral describes it as "partial 16S ribosomal RNA". It matches the Rfam family "Bacterial small subunit ribosomal RNA", at positions 338 to 795 of the family's 1533-position model. The record is from RNAcentral.
CCUACGGGAGGCAGCAGUGGGGAAUAUUGGGCAAUGGGCGCAAGCCUGACCCAGCAACGCCGCGUGAAGGAAGAAGGCUUUCGGGUUGUAAACUUCUUUUCUCAGGGACGAAGAAAGUGACGGUACCUGAGGAAUAAGCCACGGCUAACUACGUGCCAGCAGCCGCGGUAAUACGUAGGUGGCAAGCGUUAUCCGGAUUUAUUGGGUGUAAAGGGCGUGUAGGCGGGAGCGCAAGUCAGAUGUGAAAACUCAGGGCUCAACCCUGGGCCUGCAUUUGAAACUGUGUUUCUUGAGUGCUGGAGAGGGAAUCGGAAUGCAGGGUGUAGCGGUGAAAUGCGUAGAGAUACGGAGGAACACCAGUGGCGAAGGCGGAUUGCUGGACAGUGACUGACGCUGAGGCGCGAAAGCGUGGGGAGCAAACAGGAUUAGAUACCCGUGUAGUC